CUGCGGAUUCCGCAGGCGUAAAAUCCCGCCCGCGCGCCUGGGGACGGGGGACAUCUCGGGCUCUCCGGGCUGGGCGGCACGAUGUGCGGCGGGAACCUGGGUUUCCACAGCCCCACACGGACCGAGGGACUCGGAACAGAAGUGCGGGGCAUGGGGUCGUGGCCUCUGGCCUCCCAUCCCGGGCAAGGCUCUUGUGAAAACCCCAGGCUGAAGCCGGCACAGCUCCUCGACACCAGAAAAGAAAGGCGAGGAACUUUGCAGCUCUCGGUGACGUAACACAUGCAGGAGCCCAGCUAGUACCGUAAUCUCCUGCUGUUACCGUAUUACUCCUCGGCCACUGGCAAAGCGCGCUCCCCGGCCCUGAUUUCUUCUCUCGCCAGAGAGUGAGCUGGAUUUUAGCUUUUCUAUAAAAAGAGAGGUGUGUGUGUGUGUGUGUGUGUGUGUGUGUGUGUGUAAUUUGUAGUAAAUAACUUUAAAUAGCCUGAUUUUAAAAAUAAAUUAAAUUGGACACACUUGCCUGAUACUACUGCACACAUGUUAUAUUCACAGAAAUUCUGGGAAAAAGUUACUUUGAACAACUUAACAUUUGGCCUAGGUUUGUUAAAAUCAAAGAGCAUCUUGUUAUGCUAAAUAUGCAGAUAAAUUAUAAUAUCUUGAAGUGUUUUAAAAGCAAGUAAAAUCAGAUAAAAUUCAAUAAACUGGAUUAUAAUAAUAAAAUUGUAUUCCAGACAGGUAAAGUGAGUGUAUCUAAAUCUUAUUAAAUGUAAUCCGCCUUAUAUUUUUUAGUCAUAUGAGUUUUUAAGCAUUGUGUUUGUUCUCUAUGUAGUUUCUCGUAUGAUUUGGUGUUUUUAAGUGG
Molecule: long non-coding RNA, 856 nt
Filed under: Heterocephalus glaber (naked mole-rat)
Lineage: Eukaryota; Metazoa; Chordata; Mammalia; Rodentia; Bathyergidae
Description: lncRNA (ENSHGLG00100046920.1)
Source: RNAcentral